GCCUGGGUGGCUCAGUCGGUUGAGCAUCUGACUUCGGCUCAGGUCCUGAUCUCUCAGUCAGUCCAUGAGUUCGAGCCCCAUGCCGGGCU
RNAcentral lists this transfer RNA (89 nucleotides) under Felis catus (domestic cat). It matches the Rfam family "tRNA". Rfam says of the family: Transfer RNA (tRNA) molecules are approximately 80 nucleotides in length. Their secondary structure includes four short double-helical elements and three loops (D, anti-codon, and T loops). Lineage: Eukaryota; Metazoa; Chordata; Mammalia; Carnivora; Felidae. The record is from Rfam by way of RNAcentral.